UGGAUUAGCCUUUAAGCUUAAUAGUCUCAGACAAAGCACUGGAUAUUGCUUUCCUUCUUCAACUCUUCAAUUGUACAACCUGCGGCGAGGAAAAUCCACCUUGAAAUAGUAAAAGAAGGAUCAUUCAAAUUCACAUCUUCCUCUGUUACUCUCAAAAGCCAAACAGAUUGUGGAACUUAUCGAAACAUACCAUGGGGCCCAGCAGUUGGGAGGAGUGGAGAGGUCAAAGUGCAUAUGGAAACCAUUUCCGGCUGGAGCUUGCCGCUUCUCAGUAUCAGAUAUUAAUGCGUCUGUUUACUUCUCCUCUUGCUCCAUGUACACGUCCUUAUGGCGCAUCGCCACCUUGUCAUCCAAGCUCGAGAUCCAGCAGUAAGAGUACUCCCGUACAUGGUUUCUACAGUGGUUUGGUCAUGCCAGUGGCGGCAGUUAACGAAGCACCAUUCUUUUGUAAGCCAGUUUAUUAUGUCAGUUGG
RNAcentral lists this unclassified non-coding RNA (473 nucleotides) under Hevea brasiliensis (rubber tree). The record is from RNAcentral. Lineage: Eukaryota; Viridiplantae; Streptophyta; Magnoliopsida; Malpighiales; Euphorbiaceae.